GCCCGGGUGGUGGAAUGGUAGACACAGGGGACUUAAAAUCCCCCGGUCAUUGCGACUGUGCCGGUUCAAGUCCGGCUCCGGGUACCA
This 87-nucleotide transfer RNA is filed under the name Sulfurovum sp. RNAcentral describes it as "tRNA-Leu". It matches the Rfam family "tRNA". From Rfam's summary of the family: Transfer RNA (tRNA) molecules are approximately 80 nucleotides in length. Their secondary structure includes four short double-helical elements and three loops (D, anti-codon, and T loops). Lineage: Bacteria; Pseudomonadati; Campylobacterota; Epsilonproteobacteria; Campylobacterales; Sulfurovaceae. The record is from RNAcentral.